AGUCAAGCACUACACUUAGUAACACAUCACAAGGAGGAGAGAGUGAUCAGCAACACACUCCAGGUUUUCCGAGAUCCUGAAAGCAGACACCUGAAAAGUAACAACUUGGCAGCAAGAAAAACAAACAAACAAAGAGAAGUAGAUCACCGGGAAUUGUAAAGGAACUAAACCUACAGAGAAGCUGGAGACAUGGACCACCAGCGGAGAAUACCAAGCAAUCUGAAAGCUCUGCUUGACUCCCCAUGAGAUUAUCUUCAAGAAUAUGAAGACAAUGGAAUAUGAAGAUGAUGCUUCUUCUACAGUAAAGAACAAGCAGCUUACAGACCAUGGAAUUGUAUCCCCUGAGAAAAGAUUUCUUCCAGUAGUACAACACAGUUUAUGACAAAGUGGGUUUUGGGCCUCUUUGCAAAAACCUAAGGAAUUCAGUAAUGAGGGACCGACACAAAAAUUAUGACAGUUUAUUACUGCUCAUGGAGUAAUAAAAUAUAUUUCAACUCUUA
Long non-coding RNA from Chinchilla lanigera (long-tailed chinchilla), 500 nucleotides. RefSeq lists it as uncharacterized. Lineage: Eukaryota; Metazoa; Chordata; Mammalia; Rodentia; Chinchillidae. The transcript is spliced from 2 exons. The record is from RefSeq and is a predicted model, not a curated record.